GCGGGUAUAGUUUAGUGGUUAAACACGACCUUGCCAAGGUUGAGUCACGGGUUCAAUUCCCGUUACCCGCUCCA
This 74-nucleotide transfer RNA is filed under the name Candidatus Uhrbacteria bacterium CG10_big_fil_rev_8_21_14_0_10_48_11. RNAcentral describes it as "tRNA-Gly". It matches the Rfam family "tRNA". Rfam says of the family: Transfer RNA (tRNA) molecules are approximately 80 nucleotides in length. Their secondary structure includes four short double-helical elements and three loops (D, anti-codon, and T loops). Lineage: Bacteria; Candidatus Uhriibacteriota. The record is from RNAcentral.